ACCUGCCUUAUAGUGGGGGAGUAGCCUUUCGAAAGGAAGAUUAAUACCGCAUAAGAUUGUAGUAUCGCAUGAUAUAGCAAUUAAAGGAGCAAUUCGCUAUAAGAUGGACCCGCGUCGCAUUAGCUAGUUGGUGAGGUAAUGGCUCACCAAGGCGACGAUGCGUAGCCGACCUGAGAGGGUGAACGGCCACAUUGGGACUGAGACACGGCCCAGACUCCUACGGGAGGCAGCAUG
RNAcentral lists this ribosomal RNA (234 nucleotides) under uncultured bacterium. RNAcentral describes it as "partial 16S ribosomal RNA". It matches the Rfam family "Bacterial small subunit ribosomal RNA", at positions 124 to 353 of the family's 1533-position model. The record is from RNAcentral.